Molecule: unclassified non-coding RNA, 1994 nt
Filed under: uncultured fungus
Lineage: Eukaryota; Fungi
Description: sequence contains 18S rRNA gene, ITS1, 5.8S rRNA gene, ITS2, 28S rRNA gene
Rfam family: Eukaryotic large subunit ribosomal RNA (bases 870-1994)
Source: RNAcentral
GGAAGGAUCAUUAACAAGUGUUUGGGAGCCUCCAACUCCUUAACAUUUGAAUCCAAAUCCAACCCCAACGUUGAACCUGUAAACUAUAUGCAACCAGGAGGUAGUUAAAGACUUGGGCGAGAUCUGGCUUUGUGCACAAAUGUGAUGAGUGACAGGUGAGGCCCUUACACAAGGACCACUCCUCUCCUCGUGCGCACUGCAUAGACUGGACCCUAAGGGCCGUUCAACACUGGGCGGUGCUUACCUUUUGUUGCAUGCCGAACCUCAUCACGAACUUUAACCUUUUCACAUUGUUUCUUUGUAAUUAUUUGUUGUCUUUGAUCGUUGUCUCCUCUGCGGAGAGGACACGAUUAGAGCGGCAAUACUUACGAAACUCAUUACAACUCUUAGCAAUGGAUAUCUUGGCUCUCGUAACGAUGAAGAACGCAGCGAACUGCGAUACGUAAUGCGAAUUGCAGAACUCCGUGAAUCAUCAAAUCUUUGAACGCAAAUGGCGCUUUCGGGUUAGUCCUGGAAGCACGCCUCGCUGAGUAUCUUUUAACAAAUCUCCACGGUUCUCGUGGGAAAAUGAGUGUCUCCUUCACCAGGAGUCGCUUUAAAUUUUUCUUUGUCUUGGCAAUAGCUGCUUUUCAUGCACCUGUUUACUAAGGAAAUACUGCAGUGUUCAUUGUUUCGGCCAAGUCCCUGCUGGCUGUUAGUAUGUUUCCAGUGUGUAUGGCUGCGGCUAACAUCUGGAGGCUAUUAAUACGUCAGGUCAGCCUUGCGUCUGAACGUGUAACGCUUCUAAUUUCGUUAGUUGCUUGCAUGAGUAAGGGUUAUUGUUUAUGCAAAGCUUCCCAGGAAUUGAUAUGUCAACCAUAUCACGAAUUAGAUCUCAGCUGAAGCGAGACAACCCCCUGAAUUUAAGCAUAUUAUUAAGGGGAGGAAAAGAAACUAACAAGGAUUCCCUUAGUAACGGCGAGUGAAGCGGGAAAAGCUCAACGUGAAAAUCUCCUAGCUUAGCGGCUAGGCGAGUUGUGCGCUAGAGACGCAGUGCCAGCGUGUGACCUGGGUGUAAGUCCUUUGAAAUAAGGCAUCAUGGAGGGUGAGAAUCCCGUUCGUAACCCAGAGUUCGCCGCGUCCGGUCUGCGUUCAUAGAGUCGAGUUGGUCGGGAUUCCAGCUCUAAUUGGGUGGUAAAUUUCAUCUAAAGCUAAAUAUUGACGAGAGACCGAUAGCGAACAAGUACCGUGAGGGAAAGAUGAAAAGAACUUUGAAAAGAGAGUUAAAAAGUACUUGAAAUUGCUAAGAGGGAAGCGAUGGAAAUCAGUAUUUACUGCUUGUCAUAUUUUAUGUUUGUGUCCAGCGGCACUGUGGUAUUCGUUCUUUAAGUCGGCUACCUCUUUUUCACUGGUUACAGACAGAGACUGUGGCUUUUAGUAGGUCAGCAUCAAUUAGACUUGGCAGUUAAGGCUCUUGGGAAGGUGACCUAUUUCUUCGGAUUAGGUGUUAUAGCCCUUUGGCUCUAUGCUGGGUUUGAUUGAGGUUAUCAAUGCCUUUGGGUCCUUGUGUGCCUGCCUCGUUUACUAGCGUGGAUCACAAAGUUAUCCUGUUGGGAGUGCGGGGUACUGCAUUCAAGUGCACCCUUUGGUGUUGUGAUGCUGGCGAAAUGGUUUUCAUCGACCCGUCUUGAAACACGGACCAAGGAGUCUAACAUAUAUGCGAGUAUUAGGGUGACUAAACCCUGAUGCGAAAUGAAAGUGAAGGCAGCGCUUGCGUUGCUGAGGUAGGAAACCGGGCUUCGCGCCUGGUGGCACUAUCGACCGACCAUCACUUGUGAAAGGUUUGAGUCUGAGCAUAUCUGUUGGGACCCGAAAGAUGGUGAUCUAUGCCUGAACAGGGUGAAGCCAGGGGAAACUCUGGUGGAGGCUCGUAGCGAUACUGACGUGCAAAUCGUUCGUCUGAUUUGGGUAUAGGGGCGAAAGACUAAUCGAACCAUCUAGUAGCUGGUUCCCUC